This 465-nucleotide ribosomal RNA is filed under the name Vreelandella stevensii. RNAcentral's name for it is "partial 16S ribosomal RNA". It matches the Rfam family "Bacterial small subunit ribosomal RNA", at positions 338 to 795 of the family's 1533-position model. The record is from RNAcentral. Lineage: Bacteria; Pseudomonadati; Pseudomonadota; Gammaproteobacteria; Oceanospirillales; Halomonadaceae.
CCUACGGGAGGCAGCAGUGGGGAAUAUUGGACAAUGGGGGCAACCCUGAUCCAGCCAUGCCGCGUGUGUGAAGAAGGCCCUCGGGUUGUAAAGCACUUUCAGUGAGGAAGAACGCCUGGUGGUUAAUACCCAUCAGGAAAGACAUCACUCACAGAAGAAGCACCGGCUAACUCCGUGCCAGCAGCCGCGGUAAUACGGAGGGUGCGAGCGUUAAUCGGAAUUACUGGGCGUAAAGCGCGCGUAGGUGGCGUGAUAAGCCGGUUGUGAAAGCCCCGGGCUCAACCUGGGAACGGCAUCCGGAACUGUCAAGCUAGAGUGCAGGAGAGGAAGGUAGAAUUCCCGGUGUAGCGGUGAAAUGCGUAGAGAUCGGGAGGAAUACCAGUGGCGAAGGCGGCCUUCUGGACUGACACUGACACUGAGGUGCGAAAGCGUGGGUAGCAAACAGGAUUAGAUACCCUGGUAGUC